AUCAGGAAUAACGGGUGCUGACAGGGACUUCAAAUGUGAACGCCAGCAAGGCUAAUGCAGAGGCAGAUCCCCCAAUAGAAAAGCACUUGGUGUGACUUGCAACGCCUAAACGUGACCAGAGGGGUUUUGUGACAGCCUGUCGGCUGACCCCUCUCUGGGCCAGAGAGGGGUCGGCCUGACAGUUUGUGUCGGGGCAUUUUGGCUGUGAGGGAGGGACCAGCUGCCAGUAAAGGAUGGUAUUGUUAACCGGACCUCCUUGGCCAAGCAGGCAGAGGCGGUGAGGAAAGGCAAGAAGUGAGACAGGGCGGAGGUGCACGUUAGUGCAGCCCAGAGCAGAGGCAGCCGAGCGGAAAAAACGGCUCACCCAGGAUACAAAAACAAGAAAGGGUUUGAGGCCGUGGAGAGAGAGAGAGAGAGAGAGAGAAAAAAUCCCCUCCGUCUCUACGUUUGACGCAAUCAUUACCACAGAAACAAAUGGAGAGCGCUUCAAACAAGACGCAGCCAAAGCUGCUGAGUUUCUUCAGUAAUUUCUUGCUGUGUGUCUGCAGAUUGACAUGUCACAAGAAGUAACAAUCCCCUGUAUUAUUUUUGCUAACAUGUUCAAAAAGGAAUAACAGGCUUUGGGACAGAGGAGAAAAUGCCAGCAACAGGUGGAGAAAUACAUUGAGAGAUUGUGGUGUGGAACUAUUUAACAGAUGAAGGAAUUGUCAGAGACCUGACAAAUUGCACCAAAAGCAAAGGACAACACCCAAGGAACACAAACACAGAAGAUCACUUAAAUCUCUGAAUCGAAGAUGAUAUAGCACCAACAGGACUGGCAGCAUAAUGAUUUAAAUAUUAAUAACUGGUAUUGGACAUUUUAACCAGCCUCGCUACUUGAGCGUAUCUGAUGUCAAACCUGCUGCCUAGAAAAUUCCUGAUCUACCACUGCUGGAAAAGUAAACUUACACAAAUUACCGCCACGUUGCAAGCUAAAAGCACUUGUGGUUUUAAAAUGUCGUCCAGCAUUUUGUAAUUGAGAGAACACUUUGCACAAAAUGCAACAAUGUUUUCAUAAUAUGAAGCCUUUAAAAUAUGGUGUACACAUGCCAAACUUCUGUUGACUCAUGAAAAGUUGUGUACUAAAAUAUUUGCGUAAGGUGUCAAAUAAUUUUGCAAGAUGUCUGCCAUCUUUGCAUUAGAACCUACCUCAAUAGCUUUAUUUAAUUUUAAUAUUUACAAUAAUGAAUGAGAAUUGCGGAAUUUCACAAGGUAAUUACUCAAAUUUGAAACUUUACUGUAGAUUUGCUUUAGUGAGGUGGCUACUGGAAUUCAAAUAAACGUGAAGGUUGUGGAGAAUAUGGUGUAUCUGUUGUUAAAGAUGUAAAGCUCCAUUAUGGACCUGGGGACCCAUUAGUCAACAAUUUAUGUAGCAGUUUGCAAUUCAAGAUAAAAGCAUUACAGCUUGAUCAACUAAAACAGACAAAUAAUAUUUUAAAGGGAAGUUAACAGAAUACCAGGCCAUAAUAAUUAAGUUCCAAAGUUCUACAUAGACAUUGAACCUUGAUGUUUAAUGGAAUCAAUUGAACCAUCUCAUUUUAUGCCAAGCAGCAGAAUCAACAGGUUUCAAUAAUUUAUUAUACUUGUUAUCUAGGCACUUGCAGAAACAAAUAUAGAUGAGAAAACCACACAAAACAUUUACUAAGAAUAUUCAGUCUUUACAAAACCAGUGAAACACUCAAGAAAGAAACGAAACUAUUUUUUUGUUUCACUUCAUUGACUGCUCUGUAAGAUUAAAUCACAAUAAAGACCUGAUUGCAAAGCUUUUUUAAAAAAUAACAACUGUUUGUACAAAUGGAUGGUAAAUGUCAGCAGGUACCUUUUAUUUGUAACAUUGCCUGUAAGCAGUAUAUAUGAAAGAAACAAAAUUUUACAAAUUAGGGAUUGACUGGUACUGUCAGAGGUCUGUACUUUUAGUGAAAUCCUGCUCUCUGUGCCAUUGUAAGGACCUCAAGCCCAUGAUAUUAAUUAAUUCAGUUCCCUGUGAGUUUUUGACUGCAAACCUUGCCUGAACACACACAUUGCAAUAUUUCUCCUAGUUCACAAGCAGCUGAUGUGAACCUUGUGCAGUUCCUGAUGUGGAAUUGGUUGAUGGCAUUGGAUAACCUAAAGAGCUUGCUUGCCUCUGCUAUCCUCACCAUAAUGAGCACAGAAAUGAAUGAAAAUCAGUUAAAUCUGUUUUUUUUUCAAUAAACCAGAUUGACUAACUAUUGUUGCAGAACCAUGAAACAUCACCAACAUAAAUAUAUAACUUAAUCCUGUAUUUCUUCAGGGAAUGACCUGUAUUGUGUUUAAACAUGUAUUGAUCUAUUUGGAUUUCCAUAGUCAUGUCUGUUCAAAACCACUUUCAAGAUCUUUGGGGAAGCUUUGCCAGAGUAGAUAUCCCCAAUCUCACUUAAAACAGACUUUUCUUAAUUAACUCACUACUAAUUCCGUAUAUGAAGAAUCCAGCAUAUUCUCUCUGUCCAGGAUCAGGUGCUGAAAAGAAGAUUGCAAUUUUCUAGAACUUUUUUUUCCCCACUUUUCUCACUCUCUCUUGUGCUUGCGCUCACACACAGAAUUAUUUUGAAAUACAAUGACUUUUAUAACGUGCAAACACAGAUGCAUGUAUCUUUGUGUAUUGCAGGAAUCAGCAGACAGCCAGAUCUGCAUGAACACUUAAUCUGCAUUUAUUUGUUGGGGGAAGAAAAGUUGAGUUGGGACAGUGGAAGAACUCAGACAGAAUAGGUAUCAGCUUAAAAUUCUCAUUCAAAAGACAACAACAAUGAUACUGCAUUUUAGUGGUGUGCCAAAUUGGACUGUAUAGUCACAAUUUUCUGAAUCCAGACAUCAGAGUAUGAAGUUUGUUAACCUUUGCACAAUGUAAUAAACCUGUUCUUCAUUAAAAUUAAAGUUAUUUAACCAUACUUUACACAUGUAUCUGUUAUUACAUAACUUAGAUACAUUAGACUCAGAUUUGUAGCUUUGUUUGUUAAGAUUCAGUUCCUGAUAAUUGACGUUAUAUUCCAGAUGUGCUAAUCAACUAUAUUUUGUCUAAUAUAGUGUGAAAAUAUAAACUUUGUGGUAGUUAAUGGGAAUAUUACUUUACUGAAAAUGCAAUAAGUAAAUGAAACAUUACUGAACACAGGGCCACAAGCAGAAUAACAUUACUAAACACAGGCCAAGAAGCAAAUGUAACAUAGAACAUGCAAAUAUAACAUUACUGAACAAAUGGCAAUAAGCAAAUGUAACAAUAUAUAAACAUUAAUGAAUAUAGGAUAGUUCUACCACAUAGCAGUCAAGUAACGUUGAGAUGACAUUGAAUAGUACGGUUCAAGAUAUCUGUUUUGUUCAAAUUUGGGUUGACUAGCAUCUGUGCAAAAUGCUUCACUUUUUGUUUCAUCCCUCCUAACUGUGCCAAAGGGCAUAUCUUAUUCCUACCUACACCAUAGGUAUCAGUUGAAUAUGUCUCUGCUGGACUCCUAAGUUACAUGGCUAGUAUGUUCCAUAUGCUGUGAUGCAUAAAGUAAAUACAAUGAUGGUAGAUUUUGUUUUCUGACCUUGUGGAUUGAUUGCCCUUUAUAGAAACCACUUGCUUCUAUUGAAAUGAAAAUAGGGCAGUUUCUAUAAUGAGUGGCUGAUCCGCAAGCCCGGUUUAAUGCCUAGGUGGCAGAUUGAAAAUCUACCUCAGUAGCUCUUUAUGGUAUACAUUCACGAGAAACACAGUUUACCAGUGGUCCACAUCUAUGCAGACAGUGCAAACAAAUUUCCAGCACUAUUUUGAUGGGUGGAAAAUUGUUAUGUCAAAAUUGAAGAGAUUAGAAGUUGUUACAGACCCACAUUAUCUUUAACCAGGAUCUUGCCAUCUUAAAUAGUGCUGUGGAGAGCUAACUUGAAUUCUAUACCUGGAAGAUGCUUCACUUGAAGUGUGGCAUUUUCGUGAUCGCAACUUACACAUGCUUUUUUUUUCCCCACUUUGAGGUUAAAUUUCCCUUUUUCUUUAAAUUAUUCUCUUCAUACUUCAGACAAUAGCCAAAAACACACAAUUUUUACUAAAACUAUUGGACAAAUACUUUUGUAUUCAUAUGACAUUUUUUGUCAAUUACUUUAAUGAACAUGUUAACUCAUUUAAAACGAAAUGAUUAAAAGUGGUGUUAAAAAUAUAGAGAGGGAUGUUGCAUGAAUGCUCUAAAAUGGAUCUGCCAAAGAUAGUGCAGAAUAAUUUAUUAGCUAACAGCACAUAUUUUCUGUUUAUUCUUUUUAACUUUUUUUUAUUAAACCGUUUCUUUGAAAACUAGACAGACAUUCAGAACUGUGGUAACAACGGACGACAGUUCAGUGUUUUUCUCCCACUAAAACAGUUUAAACAGUUUAAAAUUGACUACAGAUCUGAAUAUAACACACUGUAUUCAGCCUUGAUCUGUUCCUUUAGCUGCCUUAAAAUAGCAGAGAUUCAUGUCUCUACAUGUAACCAACAUCUGGUGAUUAAGUUUAAUUUAAAUUUGUUCUGUUUAUGCAAAUUAUUGAUUUCAAAGGGUUAAUGACGCACACUUGCAAUAUUACACACCACAACAGCUUGUGAGUCUGCGCAUUUUCUUCUGUAUUCUGCGCUAAGAGUUUGCGUGAUAUUAACUAUUAUUAAACAAAGCUCGGAGAUAAUUCUCUCCUGGAUAUGAGCUACAUAUCCUUAACAUUGUUGGCCCUUCAAUUUUUCAAUAUUGCCAGUAAAUAAUUUAAUUUUUUCAGAGCUUUAUUCGCUGCUUCAUUCCUAUUUUUAAUCAACGCUACAUUUGAUAAUCUGAAUAUCCACCAAGUUUCUUUAUGACCACAAAUAAGGGUCCAUUUUUGUGACAAGUAAAAUCGUUUGAUGAAUCGAUUCCUUCUUUCUCCCAUGCUGGUGCAGUAGGAGCGGUCAACAUCUCAGAGUUGAAAAACCACUCUUGCGGAUUGUCCUCAACAGCUUGCAUUAGUUGACAUCAACACACAAGUACAUGCUUUCAGGAAUCAAAACUUCUACCACCAAGCCACUCCAGUAUUUAAAAGCAUGAGUCCUCUCCAUGAUUGUUAGAUUAAAUACAAGAAGGUUGUUAUUCAUGCCUCUCCUCAGUUGCUUUUCUUUUAUUGUAUGCUCAUGUAAAUUCAAAACUGUGUGGGGACUAAGUAAAAUUCCUAAUGUGACAAGAUGAGAGUUCUGGGAUGACAUCAAUGAGACGUCAUAUUGUCAGUAACCUGUAUUUCUGGUGUUUCUGGGGAAAAAAAAUCUUCAAAGAUGAGGAAAGAAAAUGCAUUGUCAUUAUCAUUCUUACACCCUGAAUGUAAAAUUGCACUCAACAAAUGAUAUUUUCUAAGGCAGUGUCCAGUGUUGUGCAAUGCAUCCUUUCAUCUAGGUCUGUGGAAGAAGAAAAAGUCUUUAAAAAUAAUUUAUUUUCAUUACUGCUUUAGCAGCUUUUUAAAUCAAAGAAACACUUUGAGUGUUAUCCUGAA
This is a long non-coding RNA of Stegostoma tigrinum, 5502 nucleotides long. RefSeq lists it as uncharacterized. Lineage: Eukaryota; Metazoa; Chordata; Chondrichthyes; Orectolobiformes; Stegostomatidae. The record is from RefSeq and is a predicted model, not a curated record. The transcript has 3 exons.